Molecule: non-coding RNA, 47 nt
Organism: Thalassiosira oceanica
Lineage: Eukaryota; Bacillariophyta; Thalassiosirophyceae; Thalassiosirales; Thalassiosiraceae
Source: Rfam
CAACCGGAUUUUCUAAAAUCCACCCAACUAUCAAAGUUCACUUCCAU